RNAcentral lists this ribosomal RNA (613 nucleotides) under uncultured bacterium. RNAcentral's name for it is "bacterial SSU rRNA". It matches the Rfam family "Bacterial small subunit ribosomal RNA", at positions 112 to 714 of the family's 1533-position model. The record is from RNAcentral.
AACGCGUGGGUAACCUACCUCUUAGCGGGGGACAACUAUUGGAAACGAUAGCUAAUACCGCAUAGCAAUAUUAAACACAUGUUUAACAUUUGAAAGUACCAAUUGGUACACUAGGAGAUGGACCCGCGUUGUAUUAGCUAGUUGGUAGUGUAAUGGACUACCAAGGCGAUGAUACAUAGCCGACCUGAGAGGGUGAUCGGCCACAUUGGGACUGAGACACGGCCCAAACUCCUACGGGAGGCAGCAGUAGGAAAUCUUCGGCAAUGACGAAAGUCUGACCGAGCAACGCCGCGUGAGUGAAGAAGGUUUUCGGAUCGUAAAACUCUGUUGUUAGAGAAGAACGUUGUGUAGAGUGGAAAAUUACACAAGUGACGGUAUCUAACCAGAAAGGGACGGCUAACUACGUGCCAGCAGCCGCGGUAAUACGUAGGUCCCGGGCGUUGUCCGGAUUUAUUGGGCGUAAAGCGAGCGCAGGUGGUUUAAUAAGUCUGAUGUAAAAGGCAGUGGCUCAACCAUUGUGUGCAUUAGAAACUGUUAGACUUGAGUGCAGUAGAGGAGAGUGGAAUUCCAUGUGUAGCGGUGAAAUGCGUAGAUAUAUGGAGGAACACCGGUG